This 217-nucleotide unclassified non-coding RNA is filed under the name Hevea brasiliensis (rubber tree). The record is from RNAcentral. Lineage: Eukaryota; Viridiplantae; Streptophyta; Magnoliopsida; Malpighiales; Euphorbiaceae.
GUAACAUUUUGAAUUAUAAAUUCUAGAAAUUCAGUUAAGUUCCCUUGGUUCUUAUAUCCGAUAAUUCAGUCACAACAAUCUGUUUUCUUAUGGUAACAAUCACAAUUUUGAGCAGCUUAUAUUCAAUCAUAAGUUUGGGAAUGCAUUUGGUACAGAGUAUUACCACUUUAGCUGAUCAGUAAUAAUUUUGACUCAUCUGUGUGUGUAAUUCCUGUAC